UACGAAGGGGGCUAGCGUUGCUCGGAAUGACUGGGCGUAAAGGGCGCGUAGGCGGCAUGUUCAGUUAGGCGUGAAAUUCCUGGGCUCAACCUGGGGACUGCGUUUAAUACAGGCAGGCUAGAGUGUGAAAGAGGGUCGUGGAAUUUCCAGUGUAGAGGUGAAAUUCGUAGAUAUUGGAAAGAACACCGGUGGCGAAGGCGGCGACCUGGUUCACAACUGACGCUGAGGCGCGAAAGCGUGGGGAGCAAACAGG
Molecule: ribosomal RNA, 253 nt
Filed under: uncultured bacterium
Lineage: Bacteria
Description: partial 16S ribosomal RNA
Rfam family: Bacterial small subunit ribosomal RNA
Source: RNAcentral